AGGAAGGCAGCAGGCACGCAAAUUACCCAAUGAUCGAAGAUCGAGGUAGUGACGAAAAAUAACAAUACAAGACUCUUCCGAGGCCUUGUAAUUGGAAUGAGUACACUUUAAAACCGUUCCCGAGGAUCUAUUGGAGGGCAAGUCUGGUGCCAGCAGCCGCGGUAAUUCCAGCUCCAAUAGCGUAUAUUAAAGUUGUUGUGGUUAAAAAGCUCGUAGUUGGAUUUCGGCGGGUAUUGGUCGGUUUGAAUUGCUUCAAUACUGACUUUUUUACCCGUGUGUUUUGCCAGAAUUUAACAGGUGAUCUUCGCCGAUUGUCCGUUAGAACUGGCAGGUUUACUUUGAAAAAAUUAGAGUGCUCAAAGCAAGCUUGAUUGCUUGAAUAUUCGUGCAUGGAAUAAUAGAAUAGGAAGUCGUUUCUAUUUUGUUGGUUUUCGGAAAUCGACUUAAUGAUUAAUAGGGAUAGUCGGGGGCAUUUGUAUUCAAACGACAGAGGUGAAAUUCUUGGACCGUUUGAAGACAAACUACUGCGAAAGCAUUUGCCAAGAAUGUUUUCAUUAAUCAAGAACGAAAGUUAGAGGUUCGAAGGCGAUUAGAUACCGCCCUAGUUCUAACCAUAAACGAUGCCAGCUAGCGAUCUGCCGGCGUUUUAUUUUCUGACUUGGCAGGGAGCUUCCGGGAAACCAAAGCUUGUGGGUUCCAGGGGAAGUAUGGUUGCAAAGCUGAAACUUAAAAGAAUUGACGGAAGGGCACCACCAGGAGUGGAGCCUGUGGCUUAAUUUGACUCAACACGGGAAAUCUCACCAGGCCCAGACACCAGGAGGAUUGACAGAUUGAUAGCUCUUUCUUGAUUUGGUGGGUGGUGGUGCAUGGCCGUUCUUAGUUGGUGGAGUGAUUUGUCUGGUUAAUUCCGAUAACGAACGAGACUCUGUCCUGCUAAAUAGAUUCAGCCUUUCUAUUGGGU
RNAcentral lists this ribosomal RNA (961 nucleotides) under Epischura lacustris. RNAcentral's name for it is "SSU rRNA". It matches the Rfam family "Eukaryotic small subunit ribosomal RNA", at positions 419 to 1378 of the family's 1831-position model. Lineage: Eukaryota; Metazoa; Arthropoda; Copepoda; Calanoida; Temoridae. The record is from RNAcentral.